RNAcentral lists this ribosomal RNA (319 nucleotides) under Candidatus Omnitrophota bacterium. RNAcentral's name for it is "partial 23S ribosomal RNA". It matches the Rfam family "Bacterial large subunit ribosomal RNA", at positions 2612 to 2925 of the family's 2925-position model. Lineage: Bacteria; Pseudomonadati; Candidatus Omnitrophota. The record is from RNAcentral.
CAGAACGUCGCAAGACAGUUCGGUCCCUAUCCGUCGUGGGCGUAGGAUAUUUGAAGGGGGCUGUUCCUAGUACGAGAGGACCGGAACAGGCGAACCUCUAAUGUACCAGUUGUCUCGCCAGAGGCAUAGCUGGGUAGUUACGUUCGGAAAGGAUAAGCGCUGAAAGCAUCUAAGCGCCAAGCCCUCCCUAAGAUAAGAUAUCCAUUCCACCAUUUGGUGGAAGAAGACACCUUAUAGAUUAUGAGGUUGAUAGGCCAGAUGUGUAAGACCUGUAAGGGUUUUAGCUUACUGGUACUAAUUAGUCGACAGUUUGACCGCU